This 254-nucleotide ribosomal RNA is filed under the name uncultured bacterium. RNAcentral describes it as "partial 16S ribosomal RNA". It matches the Rfam family "Bacterial small subunit ribosomal RNA", at positions 524 to 776 of the family's 1533-position model. The record is from RNAcentral.
UACAGAGGUCCCAAGCGUUGUUCGGAUUCAUUGGGCGUAAAGGGUGCGUAGGCGGUUUUAUUAGUCUCCCGUUAAAUCUUUCGGCUCAACCGAGAGUCCGCGGGGGAAACGGUAAAACUUAGAGGAUGGUAGGGGUCUCUGGAACUCAUGGUGUAGCGGUGAAAUGCGUUGAUAUCAUGGGGAACACCGAAAGCGAAGGCAAGAGACUGGACCACUCCUGACGCUGAAACACGAAAGCGUGGGUCGCGAAUGGG